AGCUUUGUGUUGUGGCAGUGUCAUAGCCAAUGAGGUUUAUCCAAGGUGUGGUUAUUGCUAACUGAAAAUUCUCAAGGAUAUCC
This 83-nucleotide small nuclear RNA is filed under the name Fukomys damarensis (Damara mole-rat). RNAcentral describes it as "U4 spliceosomal RNA (ENSFDAG00000004616.1)". It matches the Rfam family "U4 spliceosomal RNA", at positions 1 to 83 of the family's 138-position model. From Rfam's summary of the family: U4 small nuclear RNA (U4 snRNA) is a component of the major U2-dependent spliceosome. The structure of U4 snRNA from yeast and human has been reported. The record is from RNAcentral. Lineage: Eukaryota; Metazoa; Chordata; Mammalia; Rodentia; Bathyergidae.